UCCUUGCUGAUAUUAGCUUGUUCGGGCC
This 28-nucleotide small RNA is filed under the name Bombyx mori (domestic silkworm). RNAcentral describes it as "ovarian small RNA-28065". The record is from RNAcentral. Lineage: Eukaryota; Metazoa; Arthropoda; Insecta; Lepidoptera; Bombycidae.